This 48-nucleotide non-coding RNA is filed under the name Schistosoma haematobium. Lineage: Eukaryota; Metazoa; Platyhelminthes; Trematoda; Strigeidida; Schistosomatidae. The record is from RNAcentral.
AUCCAGAUGACGAGUCCUAAAUAGGACGAAGUGCCAGGCGUCCUGGAU